RNAcentral lists this ribosomal RNA (401 nucleotides) under uncultured bacterium. RNAcentral describes it as "bacterial SSU rRNA". It matches the Rfam family "Bacterial small subunit ribosomal RNA", at positions 975 to 1375 of the family's 1533-position model. The record is from RNAcentral.
CUGGCCUUGACAUCCAGAGAACUUUCCAGAGAUGGAUUGGUGCCUUCGGGAACUCUGAGACAGGCGCUGCAUGGCCGUCGUCAGCUCGUGUCGUGAGAUGUUGGGUUAAGUCCCGUAACGAGCGCAACCCCUAUCCCUGGUUGCUAGCAGGUAAUGCUGAGAACUCCAGGGAGACUGCCGGUGACAAACCGGAGGAAGGUGGGGAUGACGUCAGGUCAUCAUGGCCCUUACGGCCAGGGCUACACACGUGCUACAAUGGCGCGUACAGAGGGCUGCCAACUCGCGAGAGUGAGCCAAUCCCUUAAAACGCGUCGUAGUCCGGAUCGGAGUCUGCAACUCGACUCCGUGAAGUCGGAAUCGCUAGUAAUCGCGAAUCAGAAUGUCGCGGUGAAUACGUUCCC